GACAGAGGAUGCAAGCGUUCUCCGGAAUGAUUGGGCGUAAAGCGGGUGUAGGUGGCUCUAUAAGUCAGGAGUGAAAUCCCCGAGCUUAACUUGGGAAGUGCUUUUGAUACUGCAGAGCUUGAAUGUGGGAGAGGAUCGUGGAAUUCCCGGUGUAGCGGUGAAAUGCGCAGAUAUCGGGAGGAACACCAAUUGCGAAGGCAGCUCGCUGGGACGUUACUGACGCUGAGACGCGAAAGCGUGGGGAGCAAACAGG
This 253-nucleotide ribosomal RNA is filed under the name uncultured bacterium. RNAcentral's name for it is "partial 16S ribosomal RNA". It matches the Rfam family "Bacterial small subunit ribosomal RNA", at positions 524 to 776 of the family's 1533-position model. The record is from RNAcentral.